RNAcentral lists this ribosomal RNA (253 nucleotides) under uncultured bacterium. RNAcentral describes it as "partial 16S ribosomal RNA". It matches the Rfam family "Bacterial small subunit ribosomal RNA", at positions 524 to 776 of the family's 1533-position model. The record is from RNAcentral.
UACAGAGGUCCCAAGCGUUGUUCGGAUUCAUUGGGCGUAAAGGGUGCGUAGGUGGCGGGGUAAGUCAGGUGUGAAAUUUCGGAGCUUAACUCCGAAACUGCAUUUGAUACUGCCUUGCUUGAGGACUGGAGAGGAGACUGGAAUUCACGGUGUAGCAGUGAAAUGCGUAGAUAUCGUGAGGAAGACCAGUGGCGAAGGCGGGUCUCUGGACAGUUCCUGACGCUGAGGCACGAAGGCCAGGGGAGCAAACGGG